This 1031-nucleotide long non-coding RNA is filed under the name Fukomys damarensis (Damara mole-rat). Its description in RNAcentral is "lncRNA (ENSFDAG00000026813.1)". Lineage: Eukaryota; Metazoa; Chordata; Mammalia; Rodentia; Bathyergidae. The record is from RNAcentral.
AUGAGGACUUACAUUAAGACGCCCAGUGUGCACGCCCAGUUCAUAACCCAUUCGGUGAGGAAGAGAAGAUGGAAAACCAGCUUUUCUUUUGUGAAUACUUGUAUGACGCUCUCUAUGUCCUGCCAGAAAAACUGUUCACAGUGUCUGCUCUACAGCAUCCUGUUUAAGAGUACAGUAUCCGGGUUGUGCACCUGGGUUGGCCGUAAACAGGUCAUCACUUAUCUGUUGCCUUUGGAUCAGCUCCAACCGCCAGCCCUUCAAACAAGCACAUGGUAAGUGGCUGUGACCCGUGCAGCUCCUACAGUUUGGAAGGACUGCAAGUUCGUUUAUCUCUGCAAUUAGUUCAUAAAACAGUAGCUUUUCCUGAGCUUUGUGCUUGGGGCAGAAAGCAAUGAUUUUUUAAAUUCAUCCUUAUGUCUCAUUUUUACAAGUUGACAAAUACUUUUUGUAAUAGCCAGGUGUGGCAGUGCACACCUGUAAUCCCAGCACGCAGGAGGCUGAGGCUGAAGGAUCACCGCAGUUAGAGGCCAGCCUGGGCUACAUUGGGAGUGUGAGACCAGCCUCAACCUGAGUGAGGCCCUGUCCAAAAACAAAACUUUUGGUAAUGGUUUAAAGUUGAGAUUUUUGAUAGUACAAAAUGGUGAUAAAGACGAUGACAGGGUGAAUAUUUCUUAAAUGUCAUAAUACAGGGGUUAUUGUCAAUCAGUUUUUAAACUCAUAGGCCACUUUGAAGAACUUAUGAAUACCAGAGAACUUAAUUUGCCCAUACUCACACAAAAAUAUGCACUAUGUUUCAAGAGCUGCAAAGAUUUCAUGAAAAUCAGUGGACCUCAGAUUUUAAAUAUCUUCCAGAGAGAGAAAUGGAGACAGCCGUUUCAUCUCAAGAACAUAGAGAGUUGGUAAAGUCCAACUCCUGAUUAGAUGACAACUUUCACUUGGGCCGGGGAGUUAACUCAGUGAUUCCAUCUCCUGCCUUGCAAGCGCAAGGAUCCAAGUUCUAUCCCUGGCACCAAAAACAAAACAAAAACAAA